RNAcentral lists this ribosomal RNA (1798 nucleotides) under Micavibrio sp. RNAcentral's name for it is "partial 23S ribosomal RNA". It matches the Rfam family "Bacterial large subunit ribosomal RNA", at positions 1 to 1970 of the family's 2925-position model. Lineage: Bacteria; Pseudomonadati; Bdellovibrionota; Bdellovibrionia; Bdellovibrionales; Pseudobdellovibrionaceae. The record is from RNAcentral.
AAUUCAAGCGUUUUGAAGGGCAUCUGGUGAAUGCCUUGGCAAUUAGAGGCGAUGAAGGACGUGGCAGGCUGCGAUAAGCUGCGGUUAGGGGUCAACACCCGCUAUACCCGCAGAUCUCCGAAUGGGGAAACCCAUCACAUUAGUGAUAUCUUAUAGUGAAUACAUAGCUAUAAGAGGCAAACCAGGGGAAGUGAAACAUCUCAGUACCCUGAGGAAAGGAAAUCAACCGAUACUCCGUUAGUAGUGGCGAGCGAACGCGGACCAGCCCAGUGGCAUAGUUGUAAUAAGCAGAAGUGUCUGGAAAGUCACACCAAAGUAGGUGAUAGUCCUGUAUGCGUAAAAAGCAAUUAUGUCCUCGAGUAAGACGGGACACGUGAAAUCCUGUUUGAACAUGGGGGGACCAUCCUCCAAGGCUAAGUACUCCUAAUUGACCGAUAGUGAACAAGUACCGUGAGGGAAAGGUGAAAAGAACCCCGAUAAGGGGAGUGAAAUAGACCUGAAACCGGAUGCCUACAAGCAGUCGGAGCAUCUUUAAGAUGUGACGGCGUACCUUUUGUAUAAUGGGUCAGCGAGUUAGUCUAUCAUGCGAGCUUAAGCCGUUAGGUGCAGGCGCAGCGAAAGCGAGUCUUAAAUGGGCGAUUAGUAUGAUGGAUUACACCCGAAACCCGGUGAUCUAGUUAUGGGCAGGUUGAAGGUUAGGUAACACUAACUGGAGGACCGAACACACGUAUGUUGCAAUAUGCGGUGAUGACCUGUGACUAGGGGUGAAAGGCCAAUCAAACCGGGUAAUAGCUGGUUCUCCGCGAAAUCUAUUUAGGUAGAGCGUCAGACGAAUACCAUCGGGGGUAGAGCACUGGAUGGGCUAGGGGGGCGCGAGCCUUACCAAACCUAACCAAACUCCGAAUACCGAUGAGUACUAUCUGGCAGACACACCACGGGUGAUAAGGUCCGUGGUGGAAAGGGAAACAGCCCAGACCAACAGCUAAGGUCCCCAAAUCGUAAUUAAGUGGAAAAGCAAGUCGGAAGUCCAUGACAACCAGGAGGUUGGCUUAGAAGCAGCCAUCCUUUAAAGAAAGCGUAAUAGCUCACUGGUCUAAAUAAGACUUCUGGCGGCGAAGAUGUAUCGGGUCUUAAAUUACGUACCGAAGCUUUGGAUGCACUAUGUGCAUGGUAGCGGAGCAUUCUGUAAGCCUGCGAAGGGUAACCGUGAGGUUGCCUGGAGGUAUCAGAAGUGAGAAUGCUGACAUGAGUAACGAGAAGAGUGUGAGAAACACUCUCGCCGAAAUCCCAAGGGUUCCUGUUUAAAGUUAAUCUGAACAGGGUGAGCCGGCCCCUAAGGCGAGGCAGAAAUGCGUAGUCGAUGGGAACACAGUUAAUAUUCUGUGGCCAGUGGAUGUGUGACGGAUCGAGUAAAUUGUUCUUCCUUAUUGGAUUGGAAGGGCUGUGAAUCGGUUCCAGGAAAUAGCCUCCACAUUAGACCGUACCCCAAACCGACACAGGUGGGAUGGUAGAGAAUACCAAGGCGCUUGAGAGAACUGUCCUGAAGGAACUCGGCAAAUUGCAUCCGUAACUUCGGGAGAAGGAUGCCCUGAAUCGAGGCAACUCUUUUCAGGGGGCACAAAAUAGGUGGUGGCGACUGUUUAUCAAAAACACAGGGCUCUGCGAAGUCGCAAGACGACGUAUAGGGUCUGACGCCUGCCCGGUGCCGGAAGGUUAAGAGGAGGAGUGCAAGCUCUGAAUUGAAGCCCCGGUAAACGGCGGCCGUAACUAUAACGGUCCUAAGGUAGCGAAAUUCCUU